Betaproteobacteria bacterium is the source of this 71-nucleotide non-coding RNA. The record is from Rfam. NCBI's taxonomy places the organism in Bacteria, Pseudomonadati, Pseudomonadota, Betaproteobacteria.
GUAUCCAAGGAGCGUUGCAGCGGGUCAGAAGGCCCGUCAGGCUUGGAUGACCCCAACGACGCUCACCUGAU